AAAAUCCGUCGACUUUAAAAAUCGUGAGGGUUCAAGUCCCUCUAUCCCCAAAAAGCCUAGUUGACUCCCCAACUAUUUAUUCUAUCCCC
RNAcentral lists this transfer RNA (89 nucleotides) under Strychnos nux-vomica. RNAcentral describes it as "partial tRNA-Leu". Lineage: Eukaryota; Viridiplantae; Streptophyta; Magnoliopsida; Gentianales; Loganiaceae. The record is from RNAcentral.